CACACACACACACACACACACACACACACACACACACACACGCAGUGUGAAAGAUGCGAGCCAUAGCAUCUCGUAACAUGAAGGCCAUCCAGCUCCAUCCUCCCACUGCUGCUUGAACAAUAUGCUUAACACGUAGUGCCGCAGUCGCUGCUUGGAUUGAAUGUGUUCAUGCACAGAUUUUAUCAUCUUGUUACUCAAACGACUGAUGGCUUCUGACCCUGCCUGAAAAUUUCCUAAGAGGUAACAGUUCUAGGACACAGAUGCUGGAGGGAGUGGAGGAAGAAGUUUAAUUACCACAUACAGCUCUUCCAUAUGCAAGGUCUCUGGGGCAAAACUGUCAUUCUGUCUGAAGCCAGACCCUCAAUGUCAGACUAAGAGAGUCGGAUGGAGACUACAUCUUCUGUGUGUGUUGCAAUGGGAGGACUUCUCUCCACCGAGUUUAGUGAGGGAGAGCACCAAGGCUUAUCUGAUAGUAUACCAGGCUAUGUGUAGGCUUGCAUCAUGAACUUUUGCUUCAGAACGACUGCUGGAAUACAUUAGGAAAACCAAGAGAACCCACAGUCCCUCUGAAGGAAGUGGUUUGCUCCUGCAGGACCCAGGAGACACCCCAAAUACUGUGAGUGCCCAAACUGGAAUUGGGAAAGGGAGAUCAUCCACCCCUGAACACACUCCCCCACUGGGAAACCUGAAGGUCUAGAUUAGAGGAGAAUAUUUUGACCUUACCUGGAGCUUAGUCAAUUUAGAGAGCGGACUGAAAUACAGGGGUAGAGAAAGCAGCAGGGAAAGCCCUGUUGACUUACUGGGUUCCUUAGCAAGCCAUUUCUGCUUUGCCUCACAGGGGUUCUUGAAGAGGACUGCCAGAAGCACUGGGGAAAGGCCACAAGGAAAAGGAAACCUCCAGCCGAGCCCUUUGGGUUGAGUGGAAGCUGGGUGAGGCCUGUGACUGCUAGCUUUCCCCCACUUCCCUGACAGCCUGU
This 977-nucleotide long non-coding RNA is filed under the name Homo sapiens (human). Its description in RNAcentral is "HSALNT0408100". Lineage: Eukaryota; Metazoa; Chordata; Mammalia; Primates; Hominidae. The record is from RNAcentral.